CGCGCAGGUGGUUUCUUAAGUCUGAUGUGAAAGCCCACGGCUCAACCGUGGAGGGUCAUUGGAAACUGGGAGACUUGAGUGCAGAAGAGGAAAGUGGAAUUCCAUGUGUAGCGGUGAAAUGCGUAGAGAUAUGGAGGAACACCAGUGGCGAAGGCGACUUUCUGGACUGUAACUGACGCUGAGGCGCGAAAGCGUGGGGAGCAAACAGGAUUAGAUACCCUGGUAGUCCACGCCGUAAACGAUGAGUGCUAGGUGUAGAGGGUUUCCGCCCUUUAGUGCUGAAGUUAACGCAUUAAGCACUCCGCCUGGGGAGUACGGCCGCAAGGCUGAAACUUAAAAGAAUUGACGG
Molecule: ribosomal RNA, 349 nt
Filed under: uncultured Bacillus sp.
Lineage: Bacteria; Bacillati; Bacillota; Bacilli; Caryophanales; Bacillaceae
Description: bacterial SSU rRNA
Rfam family: Bacterial small subunit ribosomal RNA
Source: RNAcentral